This is a non-coding RNA of Oleoguttula mirabilis, 81 nucleotides long. The record is from the annotation of a GenBank genome assembly. NCBI's taxonomy places the organism in Eukaryota, Fungi, Ascomycota, Dothideomycetes, Mycosphaerellales, Teratosphaeriaceae.
GGGCGUGUGGCUCAGUGGUAGAGCGCCCGCUUUGCAUACCGUGCUUGCGGGAGGUCCAGGUUUCGAUCACCUGCCCGUCCA